CGGGAUAAACGCUGGCGGCAUGCCUAAUACAUGCAAGUCAAACGGGAAGUAGCAAUACUUCUAGUGGCGAACGGGUGAGUAACACGUGGGCAACCUGUCCUAAAGAUUGGGAUAACAGUUGGAAACGACUGAUAAUACCGAAUAAUAAGUCGUCUCGCAUGAGAUGAUUUUGAAAGGCGCUUCAAAGCGUCACUUCAGGAGGGGCCUGCGGCGCAUUAGCUAGUUGGUGAGGUAACGGCUUACCGAGGCGAUGAUGCGUAGCUGCGCUGAGAGGCGAUACAGCCACAUUGGGACUGAGAACGGCCCAAACUCCUACGGGAGGCAGCAGUAGGGAAUUUUCGGCAAUGGGGGAAACCCUGACCGAGCAAUGCCGCGUGAAUGAAUGAAGGUCUUCGGAUUGUAAAAGUUCUGUUGUUGAGGAAGAAUCGUAGCUAUAGGAAAUGAUAGUUACUUGACGGUACUUAACGAGAAAGCCCCGGCUAACUAUGUGCCAGCCGCCGC
This 501-nucleotide ribosomal RNA is filed under the name uncultured bacterium. RNAcentral describes it as "bacterial SSU rRNA". It matches the Rfam family "Bacterial small subunit ribosomal RNA", at positions 25 to 518 of the family's 1533-position model. The record is from RNAcentral.